RNAcentral lists this long non-coding RNA (1026 nucleotides) under Homo sapiens (human). RNAcentral describes it as "HSALNT0264750". The record is from RNAcentral. Lineage: Eukaryota; Metazoa; Chordata; Mammalia; Primates; Hominidae.
CUCACCUCUCCUGGUCCUUCUCCAGGGCUUCCUGCUCAGCCUCCAGGCUAGCCUGGAGCCCUGACUGCUCUCUGCUGCCACUGUUCAGACUGGCAAGUUUCUGCCUCUGCUCUUCAAUCUCCAUGCCCAGGGUGGAGUGCCUCUGCAGCGCAGAAUGUCUCCUCUCCAGCCUGGCCAGGGCCCGCUCCAGCGCCUCUCUCUGCUGCUUCUCUCUGGACUCCAAAAUCUCCUUUUCCUUUUUCCUCACUUUUUCCUCCUGACGUGCAAUGUUGGCAGUGAAUUCAAAGGUGGCUUGGAGCUUUUGCAGCUGGUUUGCAUUGGCCUGGUACUGUGCAAGCUGUUCUUCUUUUUCUUCCAUUUCCUUUUCUACUUGAUAAAGAGUGUUGUCUAAGCUGAGAGGGCCUCUGUCAAGAAUUUCAAAUGCUCUCUGCUUUUCUUCCAACAGAGUUGGCAAGUGAUUCUGCAGGAGCUGCUCUUCCAGAUGGGCCACGAGCAUGACCUGCUCCUUCUCCUGCUCCUCUAGUCUCUUUUUUUCCAGUUCAAGCUUGGCAUACUGUUCAUCUUUUUCCUUUUGGAGCUGGUCCAGUUCUUGAAAUAUCUGAAACUUCUCAGCCUUCUCGUUGUUGUUGAGUUCUUUGAGUCGUUGGAGUUCUUCUUGGACGCGGAGAAAGGUCUCUUCUUCUUGUCUCUUCUUCUGCAGCUCGAUUUCCUGCUGUUCCCUCAGCCUCUCCUCUUCAAAUUUUUCCUUCUCCGCAAGUAAAUCCUUUAGCUUGUUCUCGAUGUGGAAGCUGCGGCGUUUGAGGCUCUCCUCCUGCUUGCGAAUCUGGAGCUGCACGAUUUCUGUCUCCUUGCGCUGGGUCUCCACCUCCUGCUGCAUCCGCUCCAGUUCAGCCUUGUCUGAUUUCUGCUUUUCCUCCAUUUCUUCUAUGAGUUUCCUGAAAUGCAAAGCACUGACUGGUUGUUAUCUGGUCAUUGUUCAAAUGUUGCUCUAACUUUACUGAAAUGUUCUGAAAAUGCACAUACAAC